GGGGAAUAUUGGGCAAUGGGGGGAACCCUGACCCAGCGACGCCGCGUGAGGGAAGAAGGUUUUCGGAUUGUAAACCUCUGUCAUGCGGGACGAAGGAAGUGACGGUACCGCAUGAGGAAGCCCCGGCUAACUACGUGCCAGCAGCCGCGGUAAAACGUAGGGGGCGAGCGUUGUCCGGAAUUACUGGGUGUAAAGGGUGCGUAGGCGGCUUAGCAAGUCGUAUGUGAAAGUUGCCGGCUUAACCGGCGGAGUGCAUAUGAAACUGUUGAGCUUGAGUGCAGGAGAGGCAAGCGGAAUUCCUAGUGUAGCGGUGAAAUGCAUAGAUAUUAGGAGGAACACCAGUGGCGAAGGCGGCUUGCUGGACUGCAACUGACGCUGAGGCACGAAAGCGUGGGUAGCGAAC
RNAcentral lists this ribosomal RNA (403 nucleotides) under uncultured bacterium. RNAcentral's name for it is "bacterial SSU rRNA". It matches the Rfam family "Bacterial small subunit ribosomal RNA", at positions 356 to 773 of the family's 1533-position model. The record is from RNAcentral.